Phyllostomus hastatus (greater spear-nosed bat) is the source of this 1836-nucleotide long non-coding RNA. RefSeq lists it as uncharacterized. The transcript has 2 exons. NCBI's taxonomy places the organism in Eukaryota, Metazoa, Chordata, Mammalia, Chiroptera, Phyllostomidae. The record is from RefSeq and is a predicted model, not a curated record.
GUGGAUGCCCCUCAAAACUCUGAGAUCAUUUCUUCCUGAUUGGUUGGAAGCGGCACCUAAUACGUGGCAAAUUGUGAGUGUAGAAAGUACAGACACUAGGGAAAGGAAGAGCUGAAAGCGAGUCCCGGGUGGUCGGGAGGCGACCGACCUUAUAGGAUGUGCUGCUGUGGCUCUUCUAGAGCCUCGUCUUUUUGGAAAGGCGAAAACAAAGCCGGAAACAUAAGUGAGUUCUCAAGCCAUGUGUUUAGAAGUAGAAAGGAUGAGGCAGAUUCUGGAGCCAAUACUGCGUGCGGCCCCUAAGUUGCUGACUGGGCUUUAGAGAAGAAAACCAAAACUGCAAAAGGCAAAACUGUAGAAGAUUUGAAUGUUCAGUUAAGGAAUUGAAACUUCAUUCAGCAGUUAAGGACACCCUGAAGAUUUUUUAGCAAAGGAGUGAAAGGAUGAAAAUUGUGGUUUAUGAAGAUGCAUCCGUCUGCUGUGUAUUCAAAAGAAUAGCAUCAAAGAUGAGAGUGAUUGGGAGGCUCUUGCCCAUCAAAUUUCUGUGAAGAUUUUUUUAAAAAAAUGUAUUGACUUAAACAUGCUGUUAUUAACGUCAGAAAGCAAAAACGUAAAAAGCCCAAUUUCCCUCUCCUUCUUGCACCGUAUUUUCUUGCUCCUACAAGCACAACAAAACUUAGUGUUCUAAAAAACGUGUUUUCAGUUCUCAAACACACUAGUCAGGCUUUCAUGCCCAUAACUCCACCAAAGGGCUCUUUCUGAGGUCACCACUGAUAAUUCAAAGGACAUUUGUCAGUCUUCAUCUUAUUUAACCCAGUAACUCAAUCUUACCUGUAUAAAAUAUUUUUCACUGGUUAUCUUGCUAUCAAAAGGCAGGGGCACAACACUUACUAGGUUUCAUUUUAACUGAAUCACUUUUGUAAAGGCCUUAUCACCCAUAUGGUUCCAAUCUGAAGUGGGGGUGAGGAGGAAGGACUUCAUAUGAAUUUGGAAGUAAGGGAAGCACAAUUCAGCCCAUAACACCUAGACAGAUCCUUACAAAGCUGUUCCUUCUAUUCCUUCAAGGUUCUGUUACUGUCCCAGUGAAGCCUCUCCUGACCACCCUUUUUAAAAAUUUUAAAACAUUUAAAAUUUUUUCAAUUACAGUUUACAUUCAAUAUUAUUUUGUAUUAGUUUUAAGUGUGCAGCAGAAUGGUUAGAUAGUCAUAUACUUUACGAAGUGUUCCCCCAAUAUUCUUAGUACCCACCUGGCACCAUACAUAGUUAUUACAAUAUUAUUGACUAUAUUCCCUAUGCUGUACUUUACAUACCUGGACUAUUUUAUAACUACCAAUCUGUACUUCUCAAUUCCUUCACCUUUUCCAUCCAGUUCCCUAAAACCCCUCCCAGCUGGCAACUAUCAAUGUGUUCUUUGUAUCUUUGAGUCUGUUUCUGGGUUUUUUUUUUUUUCAUUUAUAUUGUUCUUUGGCUUUCACAUAUAAGUGAAAUCAUAUGGUAUUUGCCAUUCUCUGACUGACUUAUUUCACUUAGCAUAAUACCCUCUAUCCUGAUGACCCCUUUCUUCUUUUAAAACUGACCAGUAUUUACUCAGCAAAAUAGGAGAUAAGCCCUCCUGACUAGAUAAGGAAUUUAAUAAGUAACAUGAAAAAGGUGUCAGAAAAUUAACAUGAAGUGAAAAAUGAUUGUUGAUUUCUUGUAAUUGUCCUUUUGAAAUUACAUAGCUAGUGUAGGUAUUUUAGUGAACCUAGUCUUCAUGGCUUUGUAAGUUUUUCCAAAAAAUGUCAUGGUAUGAACAAUAAUCUGCAUUAAUAAAUUAGGAGUCUGCUUGCCACCACUAAA